Molecule: long non-coding RNA, 916 nt
Organism: Panicum hallii
Lineage: Eukaryota; Viridiplantae; Streptophyta; Magnoliopsida; Poales; Poaceae
Exons: 2
Source: RefSeq, a predicted model, not a curated record
CCUUCCUCCCGACGCCCACGCCCCCGGUCCUCUCCCGCUCGCCCGCGUCGCCGUUCGCCGCCGCUCCGCGACAAGGCGCCGUAACCGCCUGCCUCUCCCUUUUCCCCUUUCUUCCCCGGCCGCGGCCCCGCUCCCCUUGCGUCACCCGACAGCCGCGCGCCUCCCUGUCCCCGCUCCGCGACAGCCGCUGCGACCGCCCGCGCGCGCUCCACCUUUCCCCCGCCUCGGCCGCCCGCGCUGCCGAGCCCUAGCCCCCGCUACAGCCGCUCGAUGGCCGCCGCGUGGCCGUGGCACGGACGCCGGGCAUCACCGCCCUCGGCGCCCGAGCCCGCGCCACAAACCCUAGACCGCCCCAUAAGAAGCCUCGGCCGCCACCCCAAAAACCCUAGCCGCCCGAGCCUUGCCCUCUUCCACCGCCGCCGUAGCCCGAGGAGAAGAGAGAGGAGCAGAGGGAGGAGGAGAAGUGCUGCGCGAGGAGGAGCCGUGGACGACUACACCGCCGCCGCCCGGAGCUGCUCGAGGAGGAAGACGCCGUCCCACGCCGGAGCUUCACCGAGCCGGCGCCCCCGAUCGUCUACGUCGACGUUGCAGCGCACCCCGCACGGCACCGACCCGCCUGCGUCGCCUCACCGCAGCCCCAAGUUCCCCCUUCCUCGGCCCCUCCGGACCCGUCCGCGAGGAGCUGACCGACGACCAGGACUACCCGGAGACUCAGGAGGACUUCGAGGAGACGCCAGGUUCACGCCCAUCUACGAAUUGAACUCCUAUUAGACAUUUGCUUGUAGACAUGCUAUUGCUGUAUGUGUAUAUGUAUGUAUAUAUCGAGAUAAACCUGCAUGGCCUCUUUACGACCCAUAUUCCUUGACAACCCAUCUUGGAUUGUUUAUUAUAUAAUAUACCUUGUAAAUCCUUGGAA